GACGAACGCUGGCGGCGUGCCUAAUACAUGCAAGUAGAACGCACAGUUUAUACCGUAGCUUGCUACACCAUAGACUGUGAGUUGCGAACGGGUGAGUAACGCGUAGGUAACCUGCCUGGUAGCGGGGGAUAACUAUUGGAAACGAUAGCUAAUACCGCAUAAUAUUGAUUAUUGCAUGAUAAUUGAUUGAAAGAUGCUAUUGCAUCACUACCAGAUGGACCUGCGUUGUAUUAGCUAGUAGGUGAGGUAACGGCUCACCUAGGCGACGAUACAUAGCCGACCUGAGAGGGUGAUCGGCCACACUGGGACUGAGACACGGCCCAGACUCCUACGGGAGGCAGCAGUAGGGAAUCUUCGGCAAUGGACGAAAGUCUGACCGAGCAACGCCGCGUGAGUGAAGAAGGUUUUCGGAUCGUAAAGCUCUGUUGUAAGAGAAGAACGGGUGUGAGAGUGGAAAGUUCACACUGUGACGGUAUCUCACCAGAAAGGGACGGCUAACUACGUG
Molecule: ribosomal RNA, 505 nt
Filed under: uncultured bacterium
Lineage: Bacteria
Description: partial 16S ribosomal RNA
Rfam family: Bacterial small subunit ribosomal RNA
Source: RNAcentral